This 549-nucleotide ribosomal RNA is filed under the name uncultured bacterium. RNAcentral's name for it is "bacterial SSU rRNA". It matches the Rfam family "Bacterial small subunit ribosomal RNA", at positions 356 to 896 of the family's 1533-position model. The record is from RNAcentral.
GGGGAAUCUUCCGCAAUGGACGAAAGUCUGACGGAGCAACGCCGCGUGAGUGAUGACGGCCUUCGGGUUGUAAAGCUCUGUUAAUCGGGACGAAAGGCCUUCUUGCGAAUAGUUAGAAGGAUUGACGGUACCGGAAUAGAAAGCCACGGCUAACUACGUGCCAGCAGCCGCGGUAAUACGUAGGUGGCAAGCGUUGUCCGGAAUUAUUGGGCGUAAAGCGCGCGCAGGCGGAUUGGUCAGUCUGUCUUAAAAGUUCGGGGCUUAACCCCGUGAUGGGAUGGAAACUGCCAAUCUAGUGUAUCGGAGAGGAAAGUGGAAUUCCUAGUGUAGCGGUGAAAUGCGUAGAUAUUAGGAAGAACACCAGUGGCGAAGGCGACUUUCUGGACGAAAACUGACGCUGAGGCGCGAAAGCCAGGGGAGCGGACGGGAUUAGAUACCCCGGUAGUCCUGGCCGUAAACGAUGGGUACUAGGUGUAGGAGGUAUCGACCCCUUCUGUGCCGGAGUUAACGCAAUAAGUACCCCGCCUGGGGAGUACGACCGCAAGGUUG